RNAcentral lists this transfer RNA (74 nucleotides) under Thermoplasmata archaeon. Its description in RNAcentral is "tRNA-Phe". It matches the Rfam family "tRNA". Rfam says of the family: Transfer RNA (tRNA) molecules are approximately 80 nucleotides in length. The record is from RNAcentral. Lineage: Archaea; Methanobacteriati; Thermoplasmatota; Thermoplasmata. RNAcentral also lists the same sequence under 1 other name.
GCCGCGGUAGCUCAGCCUGGGAGAGCGUCAGACUGAAGAUCUGAGUGCCGAGGGUUCGAAUCCCUCCCGCGGCA